Molecule: non-coding RNA, 1218 nt
Organism: Bactrocera oleae (olive fruit fly)
Lineage: Eukaryota; Metazoa; Arthropoda; Insecta; Diptera; Tephritidae
Source: RefSeq, a predicted model, not a curated record
UCGUCGCGUUGUCAACAAAACUGGUAUAUUCAACAGAAGGAAUUAUAACGGAAAUAUAUAAAACAAUAACACCUGCUACAGUGGUGUGUGUGCAGAUACUAUAUACUAUGACGUGUAUCUGCAAGUACUGAAAUCGCUCUUUUUUGUAGAAAAAAAACACAACAACAAAACAAAAUCUCAUACGAAAACUUUUAGUCUGCCGUGACUGUCAGUCAGUUAGCCAGUGCGACAGUCCUUUAUCCGGUGAUCGUCUUCUGACAGCUUAUCAGGUGUAUGUCAUGACAUUUUUCAAGAAAAACUGUUGAAGGAGUUGUAGUUUUACUAACUUUAGCUGAUGUUUUCUGUGGGAGCCAGUGGCUGACAAGGGUAUCAACAUUAAACUGAAAACAUGAGCUGCAGCAUGAACAAUGCAUAUUAAAGUAAAAAAAAAAAGUGAAACCACUGCCACUAACAUAAAAAAUCAAAUACAAAAUAGAAGUAGCAAAUAAUAUUGCAAGCAAUAAUCACUGAAGGAGGCGCACGGAGUCAAUUUCGAACAAAUUCAAUCAAUAACCACUUGAACAAAACUUCCGCCAGUCGCGGCUGGCCUGAGUUAUUGCGGUAAGGCAACGGAGACGAGCGGGUGAAAUCAAACGAGUGCCGUUAAAUAUUUAUAAAGUGAGACAGAGCAAUCAUACAAUACUUGUAUAGUAAUUUCGCACACAACUAGAAUCGUCAUCUACUGCUGCACCGAACUGUUGUCUCUGCUGCUGUUGUUGUUGAUGCAGUAGGUACAACAUUGUGGCAAUAGCAAUGCAUCAACAACUGACUCUUGAAAAUAUAUAGGUGCACACAAACAUAUAUUUUGAACUUUCGAACUUUUGCUCUCUCACCAGACCGGCUCCGUCUUCGAAAAAUCUGAAAUAAACCAGACAAUUCGCAUUUGCUGUGGGUACAAUUGUGAGGAGAAAUAUGAAUUUCAAAUACAUAUAAGCCUACAAUUAUGUAAAAUUUUAGAUUUAUUCAAAUCGGUAAAAAGUAACGCACAUUAAGGCUCAAAUUUAAAUUAUGUAUCGCUGUAUUUUUCAUUUUUAAUAAAGGCAAUAAUUGUACAGAAAUGUGCUUAAUAUGUUAUUGAAUGAAAUAAAAACGUACACUUUGCUUCAACUUUAAACGUACGAAUGAAAUAUGUAAAAUGAAAUUAAUCAAGCAUUUCCAAAUAAAGUGAAAUUCGAUUGA